Molecule: ribosomal RNA, 679 nt
Filed under: Globorotalia scitula
Lineage: Eukaryota; Foraminifera; Rotaliida; Globorotaliidae
Description: SSU rRNA
Rfam family: Eukaryotic small subunit ribosomal RNA
Source: RNAcentral
UUAAUACCGUAUAACUCAAGGCUUUACUUAUAAAACUAGACGGACCGCUGUUUCUUUUCCUUAAACCAGAGGAAGGUUGCGGCAAUAACAGGUCUGUGAUGCCCUUAGAUGUUCCGGGCUGCACACGUGCUACAAUGAUCAGUACAGUGAGCAUCUCAAUUUAUCUUUAUAUAGAAUUUAUUCUAUAUAAGAACCGUAUUUUCAAGCAUCUGUCGUUAUUACAAUGAUCAGUAUGCGCGGUAACGCCUGUUUCGAGAGUAAAUGGGUAAUCCAUUGGAAGUAAUGAUUUCUCUAUUUUAUAAUAAAAUGCACGGUUUAUAUACGGCAUUCAUUCCCGAGGCGCCUUUGUAGUGUCUAUGUGCGAAUGUAAUGUUAUGGCUUUGUUAUUAACGGCUAUUCCUUAAUAGUUUUGUUAUUAACGGCUAUAGUUAUCGUAUGUGCGAUUGUCAAUUCGUGGUGGGGACAGACCAUUGUUAACUGUUGGUCUCGGUCUUAACUAGGAAUGCCUCGUACGGGUCUUGGUUCAACAAACCACCCGGAAUACGUCCCUGCCCUUUGUACACACCGCCCGUCGCUCUUACCGAUGGACUACCUUGUGAGCCUGAGGGACUGGAUUUUUCUAUUUCUUUAAUAGAUUUCUAAUCUAUGGAAACUUAGUCGAACAAGGUGUCUAAAGGAA